CGAGUGAAGCGGCAAAAGCUCAAAUUUGAAAUCUGGCUCUUUCAGAGUCCGAGUUGUAAUUUGAAGAAGGUAUCUUUGGGUCUGGCUCUUGUCUAUGUUUCUUGGAACAGAACGUCACAGAGGGUGAGAAUCCCGUGCGAUGAGAUGAUCCAGGCCUAUGUAAAGUUCCUUCGAAGAGUCGAGUUGUUUGGGAAUGCAGCUCUAAGUGGGUGGUAAAUUCCAUCUAAAGCUAAAUAUUGGCGAGAGACCGAUAGCGAACAAGUACAGUGAUGGAAAGAUGAAAAGAACUUUGAAAAGAGAGUGAAAAAGUACGUGAAAUUGUUGAAAGGGAAGGGCUUGAGAUCAGACUUGGUAUUUUGUAUGUUACUUCUUCGGGGGUGGCCUCUACAGUUUAUCGGGCCAGCAUCAGUUUGGGCGGUAGGAGAAUUGCGUUGGAAUGUGGCACGGCUUCGGUUGUGUGUUAUAGCCUUCGUCGAUACUGCCAGCCUAGACUGAGGACUGCGGUUUAUACCUAGGAUGUUGGCAUAAUGAUCUUAAGUCGCCCGUCUUGAAACACGGACCAAGGAGUCUAACGUCUAUGCGAGUGUUUGGGUGUAAAACCCGUACGCGUAAUGAAAGUGAACGUAGGUGGGGGCCCGUAUGGGUGCACCAUCGACCGAUCCUGAUGUCUUCGGAUGGAUUUGAGUAAGAGCAUAGCUGUUGGGACCCGAAAGAUGGUGAACUAUGCCUGAAUAGGGUGAAGCCAGAGGAAACUCUGGUG
This 760-nucleotide ribosomal RNA is filed under the name Nakaseomyces glabratus. RNAcentral's name for it is "LSU rRNA". It matches the Rfam family "Eukaryotic large subunit ribosomal RNA", at positions 90 to 869 of the family's 3401-position model. Lineage: Eukaryota; Fungi; Ascomycota; Saccharomycetes; Saccharomycetales; Saccharomycetaceae. The record is from RNAcentral.